UGGGGAAUUUUGCGCAAUGGGGGAAACCCUGACGCAGCAACGCCGCGUGGAGGAUGAAAUAUCUUGGUAUGUAAACUCCUUUCGAUGGGGAAGAUUAUGACGGUACCCAUAGAAGAAGCCCCGGCUAACUUCGUGCCAGCAGCCGCGGUAAUACGAGGGGGGCAAGCGUUGUUCGGAUUUAUUGGGCGUAAAGGGUGCGUAGGCGGUUUGAUAAGUCUGAUGUGAAAUCUAUGGGCUCAACCCAUAGUCUGCAUUAGAAACUGUCGGGCUUGAGUAUGGGAGAGGUGAGUGGAAUUUCCGGUGUAGCGGUGAAAUGCGUAGAUAUCGGAAGGAACACCUGUGGCGAAAGCGGCUCACUGGACCAUAACUGACGCUGAUGCACGAAAGCUAGGGGAGCAAACAGGAUUAGAUACCCUGGUAGUCCUAGCCCUAAACGAUGAUUGUUUGAUGUGGCAGGUACCCAAUCCUGCCGUGUCGAAGCUAACGCGAUAAA
RNAcentral lists this ribosomal RNA (493 nucleotides) under uncultured bacterium. RNAcentral's name for it is "bacterial SSU rRNA". It matches the Rfam family "Bacterial small subunit ribosomal RNA", at positions 355 to 864 of the family's 1533-position model. The record is from RNAcentral.